GGCUCAUCCAGAGGGGCAGAGGGAACGGCCCGACGAAGCCCCGGCAACCGGCGAUGCGCAUUCAGCGCUCGAUCACGGUGCCAAUUCCGACCCGCGUGUGCGGGAAAGAUGAGGA
RNAcentral lists this non-coding RNA (115 nucleotides) under Pseudonocardia sp. Its description in RNAcentral is "SAM-I sequence". It matches the Rfam family "SAM riboswitch aptamer (S box leader)". Rfam says of the family: The SAM riboswitch is found upstream of a number of genes which code for proteins involved in methionine or cysteine biosynthesis in Gram-positive bacteria. The SAM riboswitch acts at the level of transcription termination control. The record is from RNAcentral. Lineage: Bacteria; Bacillati; Actinomycetota; Actinomycetes; Pseudonocardiales; Pseudonocardiaceae.